UACGGGGGGAGCAAGCGUUGUUCGGAAUCACUGGGCUUAAAGGGCGCGUAGGCGGGUUCGCAAGUCUGUGGUGAAAGCCUCCAGCUUAACUGGAGAAGUGCCGUGGAUACUGCGAAUCUUGAGGAGGGUAGGGGCGUCUGGAACGGUCGGUGGAGCGGUGAAAUGCGUUGAUAUCGACCGGAACUCCGGUGGCGAAGGCGAGGCGCUGGACCCUUUCUGACGCUGAGGCGCGAAAGCCAGGGGAGCAAACGGG
RNAcentral lists this ribosomal RNA (253 nucleotides) under uncultured bacterium. RNAcentral describes it as "partial 16S ribosomal RNA". It matches the Rfam family "Bacterial small subunit ribosomal RNA", at positions 524 to 776 of the family's 1533-position model. The record is from RNAcentral.